GACGAACGCUGGCGGCGUGCCUAAUACAUGCAAGUCGGACGCACAGUCUAUACCGUCGCUUGCUUCACCAUAGCCUGUGAGUUGCGAACGGGUGAGUCACGCGUAUGUAACCUUCCUAUUAGAGGGGGGUAACUAUUGUAACCGAUAGCUAAUACCGCAUCUCAGUAUGUAACCCAUGGUAGUUGCUUGAACGCUGCAAUUGAUUCGCUGAUAUCUGGUCCUGCACUGGAUUAGCUAGUAGGUAGGGUAAUGGACCACCUAGGGGACGAUACAUAGCCGACCGGAGAGGGUGGUCGGCCACACUGGGACUGAGACAAGGCCCAGAAUCCUACGGGAGGCAGCAGGAGGGAAACUUCGGAAAUGGGGGGAAACCUGACCGAACAACGCCGCGGGAGUGAAGAAGGGUUUCGGAUCGUAAAGCUCUGUUGUUAAGGAAGAACGAGUGUGAGAAUGGAAAGUUCAUACUGUGACGGUACUUAACCAGAAAGGGACGGCUAACUACGUG
RNAcentral lists this ribosomal RNA (505 nucleotides) under uncultured bacterium. Its description in RNAcentral is "partial 16S ribosomal RNA". It matches the Rfam family "Bacterial small subunit ribosomal RNA", at positions 28 to 507 of the family's 1533-position model. The record is from RNAcentral.